RNAcentral lists this long non-coding RNA (4159 nucleotides) under Homo sapiens (human). RNAcentral's name for it is "HSALNT0336674". Lineage: Eukaryota; Metazoa; Chordata; Mammalia; Primates; Hominidae. The record is from RNAcentral.
UGUACUGUUUUUUCUAGAGCACUGAAAAGCUAAAUUGUAAUUAUAUUAAGGACAUUAAGCAUGUUUUUAACAUUGCUUUAUUUCAAAAUUUAUAGAUGCUCAUACAAAAACUAGAUAAACUAUAAGUAAGUAUAUUAUGCCUAUAAUAAAAUGUUAAUAAAAUAUAACUAUUUCAACAGAAAAAAAUUGAGAGCAAGAUUUAAAACCGAGCUUAAAGGAAGGAACUUUAAAUUUCUAUUCCCUUUGUUCUGCAGAUUUAAUAUUAUUACAUUUCUCUAGCAUUCCUUAUUAAUGAUUAGGGUAGGAUAAUCUACAUUCUAUUUUGUCUUAUAACACUUGUCUCUAUAUUUAUGGUAUUCUACAUGCAGAAAUUACAAAAUUUAGCCAUUUACUAAAUAUAUUUAUGCUGGACAUUUGAGAGGACAAGGAUAGAUUUUAAUGAUCCUCUUGGUAGUCCAAGUUAGAGUUUUCAAGUAUAAUGGAGAAUUUUCUUGUUCUCAUGACGUGUGCUGAAUGUCCCAUAGGAACAUACAAUUACUCAAAGGGUGUAAUCUCUAAAACUUCACCAAACUCCAAGUGAAGAUUCACUUCAUUAGUUUUUCUUCCUCCUCAUGAGGCCGUUUAAUUCUGUCAAAAUGUUUACAUAAGGUCUAUGUCUACCACAGUGCCAAUGGUAAUCAUCAGGCCAAUACAUUUUCCCCAGACUCUCUGAGCUCAACUUCCAUAUGUAACUGGGAAGAAAGGCCACAGGCAUUCAAAAUGAGAAGGCUGGUAGUAGCAGCAACCAAUGGAACAAAAAUCAGUGAAAAUAGAUUGUAUCAGUGAUUCCUGUGAAUGAGCUGAUUUUGUAGUGACGUAUUUCUAAAUUGUUUUGUUAUAUUACAUGUGUUUUGCUUAUGAUCGUUUUUAUCUACUUAUGAUCAUACCAAAGCUUGCUGUUGAGUAGACAGAUAGUUUGUAAUUUUGUCUAAGACUUACAUGGCCAGUUUAAAGCAUGCAAUUUUUCUCUAUUAAUAUGGCAAACUGUUAAUAAAUUCAAAAUGUUAUCAAUUGAAGAUUUUCAAAUGGCAGAUUCAGGAAGUUAAAAGAAUAAUCUCUGUCAUCAAGGCAAUCAUCCUGAUUCUUUUAAGAUGACAAUUCUCUUUAUUAAAUUAUUAUAAGGGUUGUGUAUUUCAAAGAAUGCCUCUCAUUAUGUUUUCUCUAGAUACCUCACAAGCACCAGAUAAAAUAAAAUGCCUUCUUACAUUAUUUCCCAUUUUAAUAUUAAAAAAACAAAUUAUUUAUUCACUUAAACAUAGAAUCUUUAUAAGAAUCUGCCAAUUGUUAUUAGAGCACAACAGAUUAAUUGUAACAGAUGAACAAGCAAAUCUUGUUAUCUAUUUAGUGGCUAAUUAAAUAAUGCCAAACACAGCUGUUUGCUGAAUUAUUAAUAUUUUAGAUAAAUAUUCCAGAUUAUCCGUAAAUAUCUGUAUAUUCUUUGAUUUUCUAAAACUUUUUAUGUUUGAUUGGUAAACAAAUAUUUCUGGGGAAAGCGUACUACUCACCAUUAAUGAAGACUAUAAAAAGGAAUACUCUCUCCCCCUUGAAGCACCUAGUAUGUGUAUGACUUAAUGGGCAACCACUCCAGAUACAGUGAUAAGAAGAUAUUAAGAACAGUUUCUUUCAGAGAUGUUGAAGCCCAUAAAUGUAAAUUAUUUUGGAUCUUUAUUUUAUCGUGUUUGAUUACUUGGUAAGAUAAGCUGAACUUUUUCCAGAAAAAAUAAUAGAUUCAACACUGUAUACUAAUGAUCCUUAAAAAUUUUCAAAAUAAAUAUACUAAGAUGAUAUCUACCUAAUCUCAUUUUUGCCAUUAAAUUUGUUAUCUCAGGUUAAUUCAUUUUUUCUCUUCGAAUUUUAUUUUCUCCAUCUAUAAAUGAGAUAUCAUUUCCCAUGUGUACAUAAACCAGACAGAAGUACAAAUGAUUGCAAAUAAUACCUUUUAUAGAUUAUCAAUGGUGAAGUUUGCAGAUUUGGAGAUUUGAGUAAGAUUUUGGCUGUGUUAGCGUGUUUCAUAUUUGAUGAUGUGCUAGAUAAGACUGAUGUGUCUGUACAUGAGAAUUAUCUGGGGAGAUUUUAAAACAUAUUCCUGAGCUACUACUCAAAUGUUAUUAAUUUGUCUCUCAUGACAAGGAAAUUUUUAGAGAUCUACAAUUUAAAUAAACUCUCAGGUAAUUUCAGAACCACAGUCCAAAGUGAAACUACUGUCUUGAUCAAUGUUUCUCAAAUUUUAAUGUGCAUAAGAGUCAUUAGGGAUCUUAAAAGGCAGAUUUUAAUUCAUUAUGUCUAGAUGGAGCCUAGAUUCUGCAUUUCUAAAUAGGUCCCAUAUGAUGCUAACAUUGCUGGUCCAUGGGCCAUGCUUUGAAUUUCAAAGCUCUAGUCCAGAUGAAACUCUUGAUAAAAUUAUCAAUGUAUGGCAUCACAGUUUAAUCAUAGAAUCGUAAAAUAUCAUAGCUAGAAAAGACCUGGACAUCAGUAAAUCUGGCAGUUUUGUUUUACAGGUGUGAGAACUGAGAGCCACUGAAGUGACUUGACCAUAGCUGGUUAACAGCAGAAAGGGAAACAAUACCAAUACCUCCUUGUUGCAUUCAUUCAAGCUUAUCUGUCAUGUUUAAAAUUUUGAUAUGUUCAGAUGAUGAGCAUCAACUAUCAAUAGUUAUUCCAAUGGCUUAGGUCAAUGCGACAGUGAUAUAUAUAUUAACUUAGUUUGCAUCCUAUCAUUCAUGUUUUGGGAUUUUGUUAACAGUAGAUUUAUAUACAUUAGCCAUUGUGUGUAAACAAAUUAUGCAGUUAUUCAUUUAUCUUUGACUGUCUAACUCACUGGCCUCAGGAUGCAUAAAAUUCCCUAUUUAUAGCAUUACUCUUUUGGGUUGCAAUGGCUCUCACUCUGAUUGUGAGUUAGAAUACCAUUGUGGAGAUGUUACAAAUUCAACUAUUUAAGGCUUGACCCCUACAGAUUGUUAUUUAGCAAAUCGGAGAUGGGAGGUAAUCUAGAAUUCUGAAUUAGAAACAAAAAUUAGAUGAUGUAGACAUUUGUGGCAUUCCUGCUAGAAUCCAGUAUUCCUGAUAAUAUUCCUCUUAAUUUUGGGAACCACUUUUUUCCCCAUGCUAACCCACCCUUCAUUUCCAAGGGCGGGGGCCCAUUUCAUAGGCCUUGAUAAAGUGCAUAUUUCUUCUCUCUGUCCAACUGAUUGGCUCCAACAGGGAUAUGCUACUAAAUCCAGAUUAAUGGGAGUGAACCAGAUGCUUUCGCAGAGGCAUUGAGGAAGAGAACAGGCUCUUCUACUGAGUUGCUAAGGAAAGAACAACUAAGAGGUGGAGUCUCUAGAUUUGCCCAUCUGCAUCUGUCUGAUCCACUCCACAGGAAGGCAAGAAAACAGGGGUCCCAGGAAUCUUCUGCCCUUCUGCCCAUGACUCUGCCUGCACCAGACGACACUUACUGGUGUUCACUCAAGCACAGUACAUGAGUGAAAUGUGAAAUUUGGUGCCGUGACUCGGAUCGGGGGACCUCCCUUGGGAGAUCAAUCUUCUGUCCUCCUACUCUUUGCUCUGUGACAAAGAUCCACCUGCAACCUCUGGUCCUCAGACUAACCAGCCCAAGGAACACCUCACCAAUUUUAAAUCGGGAACUCAAAAUAGGAUGGCCGGUGGCAGAAGCAAAGAGUUUGUCUGGCAAGGACACUUAGGACCAGAUGACAGCAGGGCUUAAAAAUACUUUAAAAUAUUUUCCAUUUGUCCAAAAGUGUUUUGAUUGGUUUGGUUUUAUAUUGCCAAGUGUAAAACCUACAAAUUAUUCCUUAUUAAUGCUUGAUAAAGUACCAGUUCCAAACGAAAUCUUCACCCAAGCUUUUUAACUAUUAUCUUUAUGAACUGCAACAUUCAGGCUUUGUUCAGCUCUUGCAAAUAAGGAUAUCAAUUUCAUUGGAAAUCAAUAAGUACCACCGACAAAGAAAGAGAAUAGGAGGAAAAAGGGAAGAAUGAAACAGAUUUCAGUGAUCCUCAAGCACAUUUGUGGGGUGUUUCUUCCUCACACUAAGAUGAAACAGAAACCAAGCAGGAACUGGAGGGGACACUGUUUCUUUCCAUUUGAAUUAAUUUUAAUUUUAAAGCCAAAUUUUAUGGA